RNAcentral lists this ribosomal RNA (235 nucleotides) under uncultured bacterium. Its description in RNAcentral is "partial 16S ribosomal RNA". It matches the Rfam family "Bacterial small subunit ribosomal RNA", at positions 96 to 334 of the family's 1533-position model. The record is from RNAcentral.
UGGCGGACGGGUGAGUAAUGUCUGGGAAACUGCCCGAUGGAGGGGGAUAACUACUGGAAACGGUAGCUAAUACCGCAUAACGUCGCAAGACCAAAGAGGGGGACCUUCGGGCCUCUUGCCAUCGGAUGUGCCCAGAUGGGAUUAGCUAGUAGGUGGGGUAAAGGCUCACCUAGGCGACGAUCCCUAGCUGGUCUGAGAGGAUGACUAGCCACACUGGAACUGAGACACGGUCCAG